RNAcentral lists this ribosomal RNA (253 nucleotides) under uncultured bacterium. RNAcentral describes it as "partial 16S ribosomal RNA". It matches the Rfam family "Bacterial small subunit ribosomal RNA", at positions 524 to 776 of the family's 1533-position model. The record is from RNAcentral.
GACGGGGGAUGCAAGUGUUAUCCGGAAUCACUGGGCGUAAAGCGUCUGUAGGUGGUUUAAUAAGUCAACUGUUAAAUCUUGAGGCUCAACCUCAAAAUCGCAGUCGAAACUAUUAGACUAGAGUAUAGUAGGGGUAAAGGGAAUUUCCAGUGGAGCGGUGAAAUGCGUAGAUAUUGGAAAGAACACCGAUGGCGAAGGCACUUUACUGGGCUAUUACUAACACUCAGAGACGAAAGCUAGAGUAGCAAAUGGG